This 543-nucleotide unclassified non-coding RNA is filed under the name Zea mays. RNAcentral describes it as "misc RNA Zm00001eb243760". Lineage: Eukaryota; Viridiplantae; Streptophyta; Magnoliopsida; Poales; Poaceae. The record is from RNAcentral.
CUUCGAUUUAUUUAUCCUGCCACAGAACAAUGCUGGCGGCUGCUGCUGCUGCUGCUUUGCUUUGUACUAGUACUACUAUCUUGACAAAUACUAUCUCCGUGCCAGUACGCCAUGCCAGCACCUCACCAAAAGAUACAGGGAGCACAAAACACGUUCUACACCAAACAAUCAUCAGAUUCACUAAACCCUACUCUGUUCUUCAUCAUGGAGAGCAGAGGACGAACAAGUACAAAAAACACAUGUACGAGGACUCUUGGCUAACUAAAUUACCUAGCAGCUGGUUUUUUCUUGACGAAACAAGAGCGAUGACCUGUAAUCGCCAUAUACGUAAAAUCCUGCAUAUCAGUAGAACGACACGGCUAGGGAAGUGAGCGCGUGAUGGUCAUGGCACGCAGACGCUGCGGGACGGCUGCGCCGUCCUGUCGACGGCGAAGAGCCUGCGGAAGAGCCUCAGCAGGAGCGCCCACCCAGCCGCCGCCCCGCCGCCGCGGCCGCGCCGUCGGCCGCGGUGGCUGGCGCCGGCGCCGCAGAACUGGCCCGCCC